GAUGAACGCUGGCGGCGUGCCUAAUACAUGCAAGUCGAGCGAACAGAUGAGGAGCUUGCUCCUCUGACGUUAGCGGCGGACGGGUGAGUAACACGUGAAUAACCUACCUAUAAGACUGGGAUAACUUCGGGAAACCGGAGCUAAUACCGGAUAAUAUAUUGAACCGCAUGGUUCAAUAGUGAAAGACGGUUUUGCUGUCACUUAUAGAUGGAUCCGCGCCGCAUUAGCUAGUUGGUAAGGUAACGGCUUACCAAGGCAACGAUGCGUAGCCGACCUGAGAGGGGGGUCGGCCACACUGGAACUGAGACACGGUCCAGCCUCCUACGGGAGGCAGCAGUAGGGAUUCUUCCGCAAUGGGCGAAAGCCUGACGGAGCACCGCCGCGGGAGUGAGAAAGGUCUUCGGAUGUUAAAACUCUUUUAUGAGGGAAAAAAAAAUGUGUAAGUAACUAUGCACGUCUUGACGGUACCUAAUCAGAAAGCCACGGCUAACUACGUG
Molecule: ribosomal RNA, 497 nt
Filed under: uncultured bacterium
Lineage: Bacteria
Description: partial 16S ribosomal RNA
Rfam family: Bacterial small subunit ribosomal RNA
Source: RNAcentral